Long non-coding RNA from Pyrus x bretschneideri (Chinese white pear), 2135 nucleotides. RefSeq lists it as uncharacterized. The record is from RefSeq and is a predicted model, not a curated record. The transcript has 6 exons. NCBI's taxonomy places the organism in Eukaryota, Viridiplantae, Streptophyta, Magnoliopsida, Rosales, Rosaceae.
UCUUCCGUUUUCUUUUGAAUUUGUCUUUGUUGUUUUUCUUUGCUUCUCCCCCUUUUGGCAGUCGUCUUCUUUCUUCGUUGUCUUUAUUUGCUUCUCCCGCUCUUGCCAGUCCUUUUCUUUUGUUUUUGAAUCGUUCUGAACACCUGAAUUAAGUGAUCAAUCUUAUAAACGAAAAAGAAAAUCUGUGAAAAGUGCGCUUUUCAUUUUUGAUGAAUAAAGCGUUUGAAGGGUGUUCUACUCAAGGUUUGCACUGUCAGUGCUCAGCUUCUCUCUCAGUGUAUGUGAAUGGCAAUAUAGUUGAUGCCUUCCUCGCAGUGUUCAAUUGAUAUUUCUUUCGGUUAAGCAGUGGUCAUGCUGUCUUUUCUUUUGGCAAUCUCAUUCUUUUAAUCAGUUACGCUUUUAAACAAACUGUUAUAGGUCUAUAGUUUUGGAAGUGUAGUUGUUACAUUAUUGUUCAGCCUCUUUGAAAAUUCUUUCUGCAUUAUUUGUCAAUUCACAAACCUUGAAUCUUAUUUCAGCAGUUUAAAAUGGAAGAUCGAGGUCCAACUCCUCUUGAUCGAUUGGUCGCAUAUUAAAAAAUUGGAAAAAAUUAAAGUUCGUAUCUGCAGAAUAUCGAGACCAAGAUUUUCAGGCAUGAGUGAUAAAUAUGCAGGUCUAUACUGUGUAUUAGUUGAUGAAAGGAUGUUAUUGGUCAUGCGGUUGGAGUCCAGCGUUUGGAGCCCGUAAAAGUGAACCAAAGAAUUGAUCACAAGUGUGAUGUGGUUAUUCAAAAUAUCAGGAAAGACGAAGCUAAGAUUACAUUAUGGUUAGACAUUGCACACAACUUUACUUCUUUAUCGUUCGAUUCACUGCCUGAAGCAAGAAUUAUUGUUUUUACGAACUUGAAAGUCAAGCUAUUUGGAGAACAUUCUCUUGAGCAAGUGAUCGAACAGACGAAUUUUGAAAUGAUUCCAAUCCGAGGAUGUUCGUGUCAAAGUUUCAUAUUUUUGUACCAUAAUUCAACUUGCCCAACUUGCCCAUGGCUGCUCACUUCUCUUCUGCAAUGGUGGAAGCUGCUUUGUAUUAUCUGCUUAGGCACCCCAAGGCUCAAACUGUCGAACGGUAUGAAAACAGAGAUCGGGUGGAGAGAUCGAGAGAGAGGGAGAGAAAGAGAUUCGACUGAUUCAAUUGCAAAAAUGGUAGAAAUGGAAUUGAAUUGAAAUAAAAAAAUGAUAAUGGAGAAUAGACGGAGAGAUCAAGAAAGGGAGGAAAGAUUAAAUAGGCAAAGACUUGCCGUCAACCGCAAAAUCGGAAACUAAUUGCUUGAGUCAGUCUUAUUGGGCUGGUUUGAUGUUGAAUUUGGCCUAUCAUGGUUUUUUUAUAUGCAAAAAUUUUGCUCACGGAUGGACAAGGCAUUGCCUGGCUACCUGACUGUCUCUACCUUUCUCCGUCAAGAUGCUGUUAACUUAAUAUGCCUGGCUAGUUUGAUUAAUCAAAUUAUCUCCUAAUUAACUAAUUAAAGCUCAACAACUAUUACGAUCUGGACAACUUCCUGCUUCAACGGGCAACGGCAGAGGACGAAGACGAAGCAGCAAGAUCUGAACCCGAAGUGGGACAAGAAGCUCGAGUUAACGAAUAAAUUCAGAACCCACAACCCAGAAUCCAAAACGCAGUACCCCAUUUCCACCAUCCACCCCACCUCUGCCGAAAAGACCUCUUCGCGCCACCACCUGCACCAAAUGAAGGCUACCACCAUUACCAUAACCAGCCAUUUCUUAUUCUUGAAGGCCCGACCGGAAACUCCAUCGCAGACACCCAAAACCCAGCCCCAAUCUCUCAAUCAAUUUGAAUCUAAAUUGAAGGAAGAAUUCUUGUUUUCCAGAGAGAUUCAAGAGAUUGAAAGAAGAUGGAAGAGAGAAGGUCCAAAGCCAUAAAUGUAAUUUUCAUUUUUUCUUUUCAUAUUUUCGGUGGCGGGCAUAGGCUGAUUCGGAAAUUGGAUUAGGGGAUUAAGGGGUUUGCAGGGGGAGAGGGAGAAGAGCAGAGAGUUAUGGAGGUUUGGAGAGAGAAGAAGAGGAGACAGGGGGGGAAGAAGGAGGAGGGGAAAAUGAAGAUACUUUCAUGGUUUAGGGAGUGUGUGAAGGUCUGAGAAGGUGUUG